This 373-nucleotide ribosomal RNA is filed under the name uncultured organism. RNAcentral's name for it is "partial 16S ribosomal RNA". It matches the Rfam family "Bacterial small subunit ribosomal RNA", at positions 527 to 896 of the family's 1533-position model. The record is from RNAcentral.
GUAGGUGGCAAGCGUUGUCCGGAAUUAUUGGGCGUAAAGCGCGCGCAGGCGGUUCUUUAAGUCUGAUGUGAAAGCCCACGGCUCAACCGUGGAGGGUCAUUGGAAACUGGGGGACUUGAGUACAGAAGAGGAAAGCGGAAUUCCAAGUGUAGCGGUGAAAUGCGUAGAGAUUUGGAGGAACACCAGUGGCGAAGGCGGCUUUCUGGUCUGUAACUGACGCUGAGGCGCGAAAGCGUGGGGAGCAAACAGGGAUUAGAUACCCUGGUAGUCCACGCCGUAAACGAUGAGUGCUAAGUGUUAGGGGGUUUCCCGCCCCUUAGUGCUGCAGCUAACGCAUUAAGCACUCCGCCUGGGGAGUACGGCCGCAAGGCUG